AAGGAAUGCUGGCCCCCAGCUUGUGAAGUGCAAGCAUCCAAGACAGUGAAACAUCUCAAAGCCUUUCAGGAUCUAAUGAUGAAGAGGAUGUCACUGUUGGGUGUUCAGCAGAAGGAAGGCUGAGGAGCUCCCAGACUGAGCGGGGCUUUAAGUGCUGUGCUGAGGCAUGCCUCCUGAAGAGGAAGUGUUUUCCCCCACUGUCAACCUCUUUGCAUCCAUUGUAAUGCCAUACAACUGACCUAGAAGCUGAAAGAAGCACUAUACAUGCCCUGGCCCUCUCCUGGUGUGUUCCAGUUGGUCUCCAGCUAGGGCUACACUGCUUACUCAUGAUGCAACCUCUGCAGUUCCCACAGGCCUACCAUGCAUGCUCUUUUUCUGCUCUGAAAGGAAAAUAAAACAUAAAGAAGGCAAGUCA
This 415-nucleotide long non-coding RNA is filed under the name Junco hyemalis (dark-eyed junco). RNAcentral's name for it is "lncRNA (ENSJHYG00000018173.1)". The record is from RNAcentral. Lineage: Eukaryota; Metazoa; Chordata; Aves; Passeriformes; Passerellidae.